GACGAACGCUGGCGGCGUGCUUAACACAUGCAAGUCGAACGGAAAGGCCCUGCUUUUGUGGGGUGCUCGAGUGGCGAACGGGUGAGUAACACGUGAGUAACCUGCCCUUGACUUUGGGAUAACUUCAGGAAACUGGGGCUAAUACCGGAUAGGAGCUCCUGCUGCAUGGUGGGGGUUGGAAAGUUUCGGCGGUUGGGGAUGGACUCGCGGCUUAUCAGCUUGUUGGUGGGGUAGUGGCUUACCAAGGCUUUGACGGGUAGCCGGCCUGAGAGGGUGACCGGCCACAAUGGGACUGAGAUACGGCCCAGACUCCUACGGGAGGCAGCGGUGGGGAGUAUUGCACAAUGGGCGGAAGCCUGAUGCAGCAACGCCGCGUGCGGGAUGACGGCCUUCGGGUUGUAAACCGCUUUCGCCUGUGACGAAGCGUGAGUGACGGUAAUGGGUAAAGAAGCACCGGCUAACUACGUG
This 468-nucleotide ribosomal RNA is filed under the name uncultured bacterium. RNAcentral describes it as "partial 16S ribosomal RNA". It matches the Rfam family "Bacterial small subunit ribosomal RNA", at positions 28 to 507 of the family's 1533-position model. The record is from RNAcentral.